This is a long non-coding RNA of Anthonomus grandis grandis, 964 nucleotides long. RefSeq lists it as uncharacterized. Lineage: Eukaryota; Metazoa; Arthropoda; Insecta; Coleoptera; Curculionidae. The record is from RefSeq and is a predicted model, not a curated record. The transcript is spliced from 3 exons.
GAGAGAGGACCAAUACGCGCAUCGGGCAAUAGCAGCGCACUGUGUCGGUCUUCGAUCCGUCCGCCAUUUAAAAGGAGCCAGACAAUUGUGACACAAUUGUCUCAAGCUUUAUUUGAAGUUUUUUUUCAUAUUUGUGAAUAAAUAAACAUAAAAUAAGUUGUCCCUACAAUGGUUUAUUGUGUUGCUUACCAGUGCAAAAGCCGUAGUGAGAGAAAGGAACCAAAUAUUAGGUUUCACAGAUUUCCUUCAGAUCCAGAAAGAAAAAAGUUGUGGAUUCUAGCUAUGAAAUUAAGGGAUUGGGAGCCAUCACCAAAUGAUGGAGUUUGUUCUAGACAUUUUGAGGAACAUUUUUUUUAUUCAACAGAUUGCAGAAGGCGUCUUCUCAAUGCAGCAGUCCCUUGUAUAUUUCCAGAAUAUCCUAAAUAUAUGCAGUCAAAACAGAGUGUCAAAAGAAAAGCAUUACAGCAAAAUUUGGACUCUGAACCAGGUGCUUCAAUUUCGACUGCUAGCCAAAAAAUGGAGCCGGAAUCACCCAGAAGAAAACGUUUAAAGAGGCAACUUUUUCGGCAAAAAGAAAAAAAUAAAGAGCAAACAAGAAGAAUUAAAGUUCUCCGGCAAAAGGUGAAGAGAUACAAAAAAAAGUCAUUUCACUAAAACAUCUUGUUAAUGAUUUAUAUAAAAAAACUUAUUAUUGUCAGAACAAAUGUCCAUGUUUGAAAGUAUGCCUAACACAGUUCAAGAAUUGCGAAAAAGAAAAUUUACUAGAAGAGGUAAAUAUUCGCCUGAAUUACGUAAAUUUGCAAUUACCUUAAGUUUCUUUUUAUCCAAGGGGUAUGAUUAUGUUAGGCAAACUUUCGAUACUUGCUUGCCUCACCGUAGUACCAUAGGCAAAUGGUUUAAAAACAUAAAUGCUGAGCCAGGUUUUAGCUGAGAAGCAUUUGAUGCUUUAAAAAAAUAUGUUAGC